UACAGAGGUCUCAAGCGUUGUUCGGAUUCAUUGGGCGUAAAGGGUGCGUAGGCGGCGCGGUAAGUCGGGGGUGAAAUCUCGGAGCUUAACUCCGAAACUGCAUUCGAUACUGCCGUUCUUGAGGGAUGCAGAGGAGACUGGAAUUCCCGGUGUAGCGGUGAAAUGUGUAGAGAUCGGGAGGAACACCGGUGGCGAAGGCGGGUCUCUGGGCAUCUCCUGACGCUGAGGCGCGAAAGCGUGGGGAGCAAACGGG
Molecule: ribosomal RNA, 253 nt
Filed under: uncultured bacterium
Lineage: Bacteria
Description: partial 16S ribosomal RNA
Rfam family: Bacterial small subunit ribosomal RNA
Source: RNAcentral